Molecule: non-coding RNA, 85 nt
Organism: Ceratobasidium sp. 370
Lineage: Eukaryota; Fungi; Basidiomycota; Agaricomycetes; Cantharellales; Ceratobasidiaceae
Source: the annotation of a GenBank genome assembly
GUUCCUAUGGUCUAGUGGUCAUGACGCUUCGUUGUGGAAUCAAUCAGCAUCCGAAGCAGCCCGUGUUCGAUUCACGGUGGGGACA